This 28-nucleotide non-coding RNA is filed under the name Mus musculus (house mouse). Lineage: Eukaryota; Metazoa; Chordata; Mammalia; Rodentia; Muridae. The record is from RNAcentral.
UGUGCAUCGAGAUUAUCUUUCUUGGUUG